GAUGAACGCUGGCGGCGUGCCUAAUACAUGCAAGUCGAGCGAACAGAUAAGGAGCUUGCUCCUUUGACGUUAGCGGCGGACGGGUGAGUAACACGUGGAUAACCUACCUAUAAGACUGGGAUAACUUCGGGAAACCGGAGCUAAUACCGGAUAACAUAUUGAACCGCAUGGUUCAAUAGUGAAAGGCGGCUUUGCUGUCACUUAUAGAUGGAUCCGCGCCGGAUUAGCUAGUUGGUAAGGUAACGGCUUACCAAGGCAACGAUACGUAGCCGACCUGAGAGGGUGAUCGGCCACACUGGAACUGAGACACGGUCCAGACUCCUACGGGAGGCAGCAGUAGGGGAUCUUCCGCAAUGGGCGAAAGCCUGACGGAGCAACGCCGCGUGAGUGAUGAAGGUCUUCGGAUCGUAAAACUCUGUUAUCAGGGAAGAACAAAUGUGUAAGUAACUGUGCACAUCUUGACGGUACCUGAUCAGAAAGCCACGGCUAACUACGUG
Molecule: ribosomal RNA, 497 nt
Filed under: uncultured bacterium
Lineage: Bacteria
Description: partial 16S ribosomal RNA
Rfam family: Bacterial small subunit ribosomal RNA
Source: RNAcentral